Molecule: ribosomal RNA, 433 nt
Filed under: uncultured bacterium
Lineage: Bacteria
Description: partial 16S ribosomal RNA
Rfam family: Bacterial small subunit ribosomal RNA
Source: RNAcentral
AACGAACGCUGGCGGCAUGCCUAACACAUGCAAGUCGAACGAGACCUUCGGGUCUAGUGGCGCACGGGUGCGUAACGCGUGGGAACCUUCCCUUAGGUUCGGAAUAACUCCCCGAAAGGGGUGCUAAUACCGGAUAAUGUCUUCGGACCAAAGAUUUAUCGCCUUUGGAUGGGCCCGCGUUGGAUUAGCUAGUUGGUAGGGUAAAAGCCUACCAAGGCGACGAUCCAUAGCUGGUCUGAGAGGAUGAUCAGCCACACUGGGACUGAGACACGGCCCAGACUCCUACGGGAGGCAGCAGUGGGGAAUAUUGGACAAUGGGCGAAAGCCUGAUCCAGCAAUGCCGCGUGAGUGAUGAAGGCCGUAGAGUUGUAAAGCUCUUUUACCCGGGAUGAUAAUGACAGUACCGGGAGAAUAAGCUCCGGCUAACUCCGUG